CCUACGGGAGGCAGCAGUGAGGAAUAUUGGUCAAUGGACGAGAGUCUGAACCAGCCAAGUAGCGUGAAGGAUGACGGCCCUAUGGUUUGUAAACUUCUUUUGUAUGGGAAUAAGCUGUUCCACGUGUGGGUUUUUGUAUGUACCCUAUGAAUAAGGAUCGGCUAACUCCGUGCCAGCAGCCGCGGUAAUACGGAGGAUACGAGCGUUAUCCGGAUUUAUUGGGUUUAAAGGGUGCGUAGGUGGAUUGUGAAGUCAGGUGUGAAAGUUUGGGGCUCAACCGUAAAAUUGCAGUUGAAACUGGAAGUCUUGAGUAGAGUAGAGGUGGGCGGAAUGCGUGGUGUAGCGGUGAAAUGCUUAGAUAUCACGAAGAACUCCGAUUGCGAAGGCAGCUUACUGGACUGCAACUGACACUGAGGCUCGAAAGUGUGGGUAUCAAACAGGAUUAGAUACCCCAGUAGUC
RNAcentral lists this ribosomal RNA (460 nucleotides) under uncultured bacterium. RNAcentral describes it as "partial 16S ribosomal RNA". It matches the Rfam family "Bacterial small subunit ribosomal RNA", at positions 338 to 795 of the family's 1533-position model. The record is from RNAcentral.